CGGCGGACGGGUGAGUAACACGUGGGUAACCUACCUAUAAGACUGGGAUAACUUCGGGAAACCGGAGCUAAUACCGGAUGAUAUUUUGAACCGCAUGGUUCAAAAGUGAAAGACGGUCUUGCUGUCACUUAUAGAUGGAUCCGCGCUGCAUUAGCUAGUUGGUAAGGUAACGGCUUACCAAGGCGACGAUACGUAGCCGACCUGAGAGGGUGAUCGGCCACACUGGAACUGAGACACGGUCCAG
RNAcentral lists this ribosomal RNA (244 nucleotides) under uncultured Staphylococcus sp. RNAcentral describes it as "partial 16S ribosomal RNA". It matches the Rfam family "Bacterial small subunit ribosomal RNA", at positions 96 to 334 of the family's 1533-position model. The record is from RNAcentral. Lineage: Bacteria; Bacillati; Bacillota; Bacilli; Caryophanales; Staphylococcaceae.